Molecule: long non-coding RNA, 712 nt
Organism: Corvus moneduloides (New Caledonian crow)
Lineage: Eukaryota; Metazoa; Chordata; Aves; Passeriformes; Corvidae
Source: Ensembl
CAUACUUACCUCUCCUGUGGCAACCAGUAACCUGCCUCCAUCCUCCUGAAACCCUCCUGCCUUCACAGACUGAUGAGACUUUCCUGCCCACCAGGGAGAUGCUGGAUCUGGCUCCACCUCCUUCCCAGGGAUGAAGUCCAUCAGAUGCUAUAGACUCUGGCUGAGAGUGAUGACAUGCCCUUGGAAACCUCUCAUCACCCUCUAGCAUGACAGCCAGGUUUUUACAUCCACAUGCAUUCCUGCUCUGGACCACGUGAGUCUCUGCUCCAGGAUCUUGUCCCUGGGGUAGGCAGAGGCUUUGCUGAGCCCAUGGACUCCUGGUUAUCUGCAGCAUGAGGGUGCUCCCAAGCCAGGUUCAUCGAGACAGACUGAGCUGGGUCCUGCCUCCAAAACAAGCCCACCUUGCUCCCUUUGAGCCACCACCACGCAGCAGCUGCUGAUUUGUCAUUUGCCUUCUCAAAACUAUCUCCUGAUAUGGAAACAGUUCAUCAUUGCCUGUAACCAGCAGGAACACCAGCAGGAACACCAGGUCCUGCCAGCAUCUCUUUUGAGCAUCAAGGUAAGUGGGUCUGGGACAGUUCUAUCUGGGGUAGGACAUUACUACUGAUGUUGUACUAGAACUGCUGCUUGCCUGCUGCUGCUGUGCCAUGAGGCCAGGAAAAGCACUCCCAGACAGGCCGACCUUCCAAGGUGUGUUAUAAAUGGGGUAAAA